AGAAAAGAAGUAGGGAGAGAGAAAGGAAUUUAUCCUUGAAAAUUGAUGCUGGCCCUUUAAUUCCUGCUUGUUCUGUCAGGAGGAAGAAUACAGAGCUAAAUCCAGCAGACCUUAUUUUGGCAAAACUCCCACUGAAGUCAGUGAGGGUUUUGUGAAAGUAAGGGCUGCAUGAUUUGUCUCACAGCUCCUGCUGAUUUUUUGGAAUAUGUUUCCUCUCCCCCCCCAAAAAAAGCGGAGCUCCUCAUCGAGUUUGACAUCACCACGGUGCUGUGGCUUACAGCGUUUUUCUGUCUGUAAACUAGAAUGAAGAUCAGUGUAAUGCAAUUGUGAGAAAUACCCUUUUCACCCAGUGACCUUGGAAUAAAACGGAUUGCCUCGGCAGUCUGGAGACUGCUACUGUGGAACUAACUGCACAGAGACACCGAGGAUUUGGAGAACCUAUUUUAAAUUCAUGCUGAGAAUUUAAAGAACUCUUUAAACAAGCUGGAAAUAGGUCAAAAUCUGAUUGUUAAAAAACAGCUACCCGAUUGCGUGUUGCCCAGACAGGUGGUACCUUGUGAUAAAAUUGUUGGUUUGUGUAACACUUCCUCACUGGAACACUGGCACGUCCAUGAAAAUUUCAAUUCUGUUUCCAUUACAGAUUGCAGUAGAGAAAGGCAGCUGAAGGGUUAACAGCGUUCCUUCAGCAGGAAACCUACCGCUGCAAAUGAUAACAUGGGGCACACAUUCAGACUGAGUUCUUUAUUUUUUUCACUUAAGUCUGGACAAAUACAGGGCCAACGAGAGAAACCAGAUCUGCAAGCAUGGGCGCUCCCCUCGUCUGCAGACAAGAUGACGGAGUAAGAGCUUCCCACACUCUGCUGUGUCAAUGUGUCAUGACCUUUCUCCCAAGGGGACACCUUUCAGUGACAGCACUUCAGUCUCCGUGGUCUUUCAGUCAUACAUCUGUCUGCCUUUGCGUGGAAGCUGGCUCCAGGCUUGCCAGACACUGCCAGAGUGGUGAUUUAGGAAUUGGACUGAUACUGCCAAAGCGCUCUGCAUAGGUCACUUGCUGAGGGCAGCCACAGGUAGCGAGCAGUGAGCUUUCAGCCACUGUUCAUCUGGGCCAGACAUGAAAUACUGACCUAAGGAGAAGCAGCUCUGUAGUUCGUUUCCAGUUCUUGAACAAGCAAGUCACUUGUCAAACAGAUUUUCUAUUGCUGAUGGGGGACUACACUAUCCGUAUUUGUUAAUUGAACAUCCUCAUUGUGAGGACAUUCUCUACACACUGAACUGUUGCGAAAUACUUCUGUUGUAUUGUAUUUUAUAACGGUCCAUGUGGAACUUGCCAGCAGCUCUAAGGACAGCUGAAGUCAACAUGACUAAAUAAUGCAAAAUUGCAGAAUACUGCAGUAGUUUUAUAGCUGGAAUACUUCCUCAUCCAGGUCUGGGUAAAGAUAAGGAGAAACCUUUUGAAACCAAACAAGCUGCCGCUCAUGAGUGACUGCUUGGAUCAGCAUUCCAACUGGAAGAAAUCUGGUAAGUGCUGGAGCCCCAAAUUUAG
This is a non-coding RNA of Phalacrocorax carbo (great cormorant), 1543 nucleotides long. The record is from RefSeq and is a predicted model, not a curated record. NCBI's taxonomy places the organism in Eukaryota, Metazoa, Chordata, Aves, Suliformes, Phalacrocoracidae.